This 301-nucleotide ribosomal RNA is filed under the name uncultured bacterium. RNAcentral describes it as "partial 16S ribosomal RNA". It matches the Rfam family "Bacterial small subunit ribosomal RNA", at positions 509 to 809 of the family's 1533-position model. The record is from RNAcentral.
CAGCCGCCGCGGGAAUACGUAGGUGGCAAGCGUUGUCCGGAAUUAUUGGGCGUAAAGGGCUCGCAGGCGGUUUCUUAAGUCUGAUGUGAAAGCCCCCGGCUCAACCGGGGAGGGUCAUUGGAAACUGGGAAACUUGAGUGCAGAAGAGGAGAGUGGAAUUCCACGUGUAGCGGUGAAAUGCGUGGAGAUGUGGAGGAACACCAGUGGCGAAGGCGACUCUCUGGUCUGUAACUGACGCUGAGGAGCGAAAGCGUGGGGAGCGAACAGGAUUAGAUACCCGAGUAGUCCCUGUAUCUUAUAA